RNAcentral lists this ribosomal RNA (514 nucleotides) under uncultured bacterium. Its description in RNAcentral is "bacterial SSU rRNA". It matches the Rfam family "Bacterial small subunit ribosomal RNA", at positions 103 to 615 of the family's 1533-position model. The record is from RNAcentral.
CGGGUGAGUAACACGUAUCCAACCUGCCGUCUACUCUUGGACAGCCUUCUGAAAGGAAGAUUAAUACAAGAUGGCAUCAUGAGUCCACAUGUUCACAUGAUUAAGGGUAUUCCGGUAGACGAUGGGGAUGCGUUCCAUUAGAUAGUAGGCGGGGUAACGGCCCACCUAGUCUUCGAUGGAUAGGGGUUCUGAGAGGAAGGUCCCCCACAUUGGAACUGAGACACGGUCCAAACUCCUACGGGAGGCAGCAGUGAGGAAUAUUGGUCAAUGGGCGAGAGCCUGAACCAGCCAAGUAGCGUGAAGGAUGACUGCCCUAUGGGUUGUAAACUUCUUUUAUAAAGGAAUAAAGUCGGGUAUGGAUACCCGUUUGCAUGUACUUUAUGAAUAAGGAUCGGCUAACUCCGUGCCAGCAGCCGCGGUAAUACGGAGGAUCCGAGCGUUAUCCGGAUUUAUUGGGUUUAAAGGGAGCGUAGAUGGAUGUUUACGUCAGUUGUGAAAGUUUGCGGCUCAACCG